UACGUAGGUGGCAAGCGUUGUCCGGAAUUAUUGGGCGUAAAGGGUGCGUAGGCGGCCCAUUAAGUCUGAUGUGAAAGCCCACGGCUCAACCGUGGAGGGUCAUUGGAAACUGGGAGACUUGAGUGCAGAAGAGGAGAGUGGAAUUCCACGUGUAGCGGUGAAAUGCGUAGAGAUGUGGAGGAACACCAGUGGCGAAGGCGACUCUUUGGCCUAUAACUGACGCUGAGGCGCGAAAGCGUGGGGAGCAAACAGG
RNAcentral lists this unclassified non-coding RNA (253 nucleotides) under uncultured Bacillaceae bacterium. RNAcentral describes it as "contains 16S-23S intergenic spacer region". It matches the Rfam family "Bacterial small subunit ribosomal RNA", at positions 524 to 776 of the family's 1533-position model. The record is from RNAcentral. Lineage: Bacteria; Bacillati; Bacillota; Bacilli; Caryophanales; Bacillaceae.